Molecule: long non-coding RNA, 3666 nt
Organism: Mus musculus (house mouse)
Lineage: Eukaryota; Metazoa; Chordata; Mammalia; Rodentia; Muridae
Product: predicted gene, 32028
Exons: 5
Source: RefSeq, a predicted model, not a curated record
GAAUGGACACAGAUCCGUGUCUUGUUCAGUAACUCCAGCACGAUCGACGUGCCUUCUGCAUUUUCUCCGAGUUCCUAUUUGGCUUCAUUUCUGCACAGCAGAAAAUGGGUGCAGCUCUCAGCACUGCCUGUGAAAGGCCCUGGGUCACCUGGAGCCAAGGCCUUGGCCACAGAGACAUGCAGGACUGAUCCAGUGGUCUUUAUGACAUGGUAGUUCUGGGGAUCAGAGCAUCCUUUCCCAGGGUAUAUGGAAGAUGAAUCGAAUCCAUGGCUGACUGUGGCUACAUCAGAACACUGUGGGCCAACAGGAGGAUCACAGUUUGCUGUCUUCUCCCACUGCCCAUCUCAUUUCUGGAGCUGACUUGAAGGGAACUGGCCUAAGAAGCUGUCAGGGUUAAUCCAAGGCACCUAUUGAUUCAUUACCACGGAACAGCCUGGAUUGCUCGCCUGGGGCACAACCUUUCUCCACGGAGGGAGGCGGACAUUCUUUACAGGAUGCUCUUGAAAAGGCCUUGCUGUUAGUCAUUUACAUCCCAGAGAUGCUGACUUCAGAGAUACCCACAAUCCCCACUUGCUGGAUGCCUGAAUCUCUGGGUCCUCUGCUGAGAAGUGGGACCACUUGCCCUCUAUUGGGUGCAGAGCUCAGCUUCCUGGGCUGAGGUAGAACACUGCUUGUGCCCAAUGCCUCAGACUUCUCAUUCAUGACCAUCAUGGGGACCUGGAAUGGGAUUGGGGAUGGGGGUGGUAGACAGAGACAAAACUCUGGGUCAACUUCAGGAGUGAACAAUUUUUAUUUUGCCACCACUGUUUAUACACCAUUUGUCCAGCUGCUAAAGCUGGCAUGCAAACAGAGCUUAAACAGCCUCGUGGUCCUCUUUACCUGAGUUCUUCUUCAGACCUCCCUGCUCUUGUGGUUUUGGUUUGCCUGGAAGACAUUUUUCCUGGAUGUUAGCUCCAGUCUUCAGUUUCCUGAAGUCGUGUAGCCACAUCUUCGUCAGGAUUUGUGCCUGAGAAAGGAGCUGCAGACCACCUGUACCCCAACACCUAGGGCCUCAGGGGAUCCCCCCAUCUGUGCUCUUCCAGUGAUCUGUCCUUGUUCCUUGCUUAAAACUUCAGUUAUGUAUGGGCUUUGAUCCUUUAGCCACACAGCCAAACCCUUCCAUGAAGCCCCCAGAACUGAGCACCAUGCCUUCCCCUCCCCCAACCCCCGUUCUUCAUCUCCGAAACAAAAGCCCAUUGUACACAGAGACCCAAGGAAAGUCCAGCAGCCCUUCCCUCCAGCACUGCCUGUGAAGGAAACCAAAAAGUGGGGAAGGUGAUGAAAUAUUUUUGGAAAGGCAUUGGAGGCUCGGCUGGUGUGGGAGAAAUGCGCAUAGGUGCCUUCAGCUCUGAGGGAGGCACAAACUAAAAGAUGGAGGGAAAAGAGGGCGCUCUCCUGUUAAAGAUGGAACAUAUAGGAAAGUGAGGACCAGGCAGGAAAAAACCAGCAAACCUUUGGGAAUGGUCCUUAGAGAUCAAUUCUAGGCCUCUAUCAACUGGACAAGGCAAGUUGAGGCGUGUGCUUCCAGUGACCACGGCUGCUGCCAAACAAUAGACCACAUCUGACAUAGACCUGAACUCUCACUCCUGCAGAGGGCUGUGAAGACAUCAGCCUGGUAUGCUUUUUUCCUAACUUACUCCCCAAAAUGCCUUCAAACAGGUCUUGUUAAUUCUUCUGGAGUCUUUGAGAAGGGCAGGUUCGAGGGUGCUCAUGGCGAUAGGACAGCCAGCAAUACAGAGCUCCUGUGUGGAAGGGGUCUACUCUCUUCCUCUGCCUCCUCCCCUGGAAGGGGUCUACUCUCUUCCUCUGCCUCCUCCCCUGCUGAUCACCUUUCCGCUGAUACAAGGUAGGUUCAGCUUGAGCCCCACCCCCAACUAGACACUCCAAAGCCUAAAACUUUGAGCACAGACAAUUACACACAAGCGUUUCAGGUUAGAGUUUCAUAAAUAUUCCAAAGUUGGAGGGAAAACAUCCACACUGCUUGUGGUCUCCAGCAUUUUGGAUACAGGAUGCUCACCCGAUGCGGUUUGACUGAAAAAGAUAGUCCUACUGUUCAGGGUUAUAGACCCAGCCAUUGCCAGGACAGCUGUUCUUCCCCGCAUCCUCAGAAACUGCACAUCAUAAACCAGAAUCUGUGAUCGAAUGAAGUUUGGUCCUGGAGAGACCAGUUGCAUGUAAGCCUGCUCAAGGCUGAAAAGCUGCAGCUCAAAGCCUGUUUACCUUUUCCUACCUCCACGUUUUGAAAACACUGCUGACCAUGGAGCAAAGCUUCAGUGUCUCACAGACCCAUGUGUGCCUGGUGGCAGAGUUCAGGAGCCUGGUCAGUGAGUAGAGGAGACCGGUCCUCUCUGCUUCCCUGUGGCUUCUCAGUUUGACAAAGAGUUAAAGGCAAGGUGGACACCACUAAACUGAGACUCUGAGAUCCAAACAAGAGGAGCUGAGUGCUCUGGGUGUGGCACAGUGGGUAAAGUGCUUGCCACGCAGGCAGGCAAGCAAGCAAGCCUGAGGACAUGAGUUCAGAUCCCCGGGACCACACCAACGAAGAGCCGGGUGUAGCAGCACAUAUUCUUGUAAUCCUGGUCCUGGAAAGGCAGAAACAGGAGGAAACCACGAGCCUGCUGGCCAGCCAGUCUAGCCAGCUAGACUAGGAACUAGUAAGUGUUCAUUAGUGAGGUACAAGAGUAGACGAUUUGCCCUGCACCAUCAGGAACCCCGGCUGAAAGCUCUGAGCUCAGUGCAAAAUGGCAGUCUCCCUUUGUCAGCUGGGCUCUCUCUUCUCUACUUGGGGCAUUCCAGACCCCACUGCACCUGAGAUUCCUGGAAUGCCUCUCUAUGCUAAGGAGGCAUCUCGGUACCUUAGCCUUCAUGGAGCCAAUGACCUUCGCCCACUCUGAAUACUCUCAUGCCGUUCCCCAAAACUAUACAACCCUUGGUUCACCCCGAAUAAGGUGUAUGCAGACAAGCCCACCCUGAAUAAAGAAAAUGCACAAUCUGAGAUCAUCUCAGAAAGUUGUUUCACUGGAGAUCCUCAGAGAAGGUCUUCUCCCCCUCCCCCUCCCCCAACCUCUCAACGCAGGCAUUUAUUCCCAGCCAGACUGAAGUCCUACAGAACUCCAUCACUUCAGGGCUCCACUUAGUCCUUCCGGCCUGGCGUGUAGAGGCAUCGGGAACACCCUGAGUGGGAAGCAGCAGAAGAUGAGGAACCACAGCUGGACCUCAAAACGCAUACCACAAUACACUGUGUUCCCAGCCUGAACCAAGAUCUUGGGGAAAAUAGUCUCAGACAGACCUGAAAGCCUCAGCAGACACUCUCCUCUGCCCCUUGAGAAGUGGCCGCCGAUGACAUCAUGCCGAGGUCUUGAGGAAGAAGCUGAGGAGUUAGGUCACUCCAGGGCAGGGACUCCGCCCUCUGUUUAUUUAUCUUUGUUUUCAGUUAUAUUUUUCACUGUCUAGCACAGAUUGAGCGUGCAAUAAGCAGCCCGAGAGUGAAUGAACAGAUCAACUUUUGUUGUUGUUGUUGUUGUUGGAAGGCGUCUUCACUUAUUUUCUUCUGCUGACUGAGUCCUGCAGUGUUCUGACUGGACACCUGAGACUGAGUCAGUUACGAAGAGGGUUACUUAGUCCACA